Molecule: long non-coding RNA, 715 nt
Filed under: Coturnix japonica (Japanese quail)
Lineage: Eukaryota; Metazoa; Chordata; Aves; Galliformes; Phasianidae
Description: lncRNA (ENSCJPG00005011128.1)
Source: RNAcentral
ACAGUGUAUCUAAACAAGUUGGCUGCUGGAUCAAUCUCUGCCAUGGAUUUUGUACCAUUUCUUUUAGUCUUUUUUCUGGGAAAAAAAAAAAAAAAAAAAAAAAUUGUGUUGGCAAUAUAUUAAUUCUGAACUAGUGUAUGAAAUAGCUGAAAGAAAUGUAUUCAUUUUAUGAAGAAGCCCAUAAUAAAUUGAUAAAAGCUUAUCUUUGCUCUGGGUUCAGGAAAAGAACUGCACGUGGCUGCCCGGUUCACUUUUGAUAAUGGGAAGUAAAGAACCAUCCCAAAAGACAAAUCUCAGGAAGCAGAUGAGAGGACCAAGCACACUCUACAGAUUGAGCCUCAGUGCCUCUGGGAUUUUAACAUGCGCAGCAAAGUUAAUAGAAGGACGUCUGAAAGAGACAUAUACAAAAAGGAUAACCAGUGGGAACAUUUGGAAAUGCCAUCAGAAAAGGGAUGUGAGCAUAUCAAAAAGAAGACCAGUUUUUUUUUAAAAAAAGAAGAAAAAAGACUUCAAAGGUACUUAAAGGGAUCUUCACAGGAGACAUUUUGAACAAUGGGAUCACUGAUUUACUGUACAGUACAGAUGGUGAGUGUGUUUAACCGAAACUAUUCUUUACCACUGACACAGAAACUGGAGCCAAGAAUGAAACUGCACUGGAGCUGUGUUUGUACAGAUUGAUUAUAUAGCUCAGAAUACAUAAUAUCUAAGACCACUC